RNAcentral lists this ribosomal RNA (697 nucleotides) under uncultured bacterium. RNAcentral describes it as "bacterial SSU rRNA". It matches the Rfam family "Archaeal small subunit ribosomal RNA", at positions 549 to 1247 of the family's 1478-position model. The record is from RNAcentral.
AGCCUGAAGCUUAACUCCAGAAAGGUCUGAAGAGACUGCAAGACUUGAGAUCGGGUGAGGUUAAACGUACUUUCAGGGUAGGGGUAAAAUCCUGUAAUCCCGGAAGGACGACCAGUGGCGAAAGCGUUUAACUAGAACGAAUCUGACGGUAAGGAACGAAGGCUAGGGUAGCAAACCGGAUUAGAUACCCGGCUAGUCCUAGCUGUAAACAUUGCCCAUUUGAUGUUCCUUUCCCGUUGAGGGAAGGCAGUGUCGGAGCGAAGGUGUUAAAUGGGCCGCUUGGGAAGUAUGGUCGCAAGACUGAAACUUAAAGGAAUUGGCGGGGGAGCACCGCAACGGGAGGAAUGUGCGGUUUAAUUGGAUUCAACGCCGGAAAACUCACCGGGAACGACCUGUGCAUGAGAGUCAACUUGACGAGCUUACUCGAUAGCAGGAGAGGUGGUGCAUGGCCGUCGUCAGCUCGUACCGUAGGGCGUUCACUUAAGUGUGAUAACGAGCGAGACCCACAUCUUUAAUUGCAAAUGUAUAUGGGAAUAUGCAUGCACUUUAGAGAAACCGCCAGCGCUAAGCUGGAGGAAGGAGUGGUCGACGGCAGGUCAGUACGCCCCGAAUUUCCCGGGCUACACGCGCAUUACAAAGAACGGGACAAUACGUUGCAACCUCGAAAGAGGGAGCCAAUCGCGAAACCCGUCCAUAG